This 253-nucleotide unclassified non-coding RNA is filed under the name uncultured Rickettsiales bacterium. RNAcentral's name for it is "contains 16S-23S intergenic spacer region". It matches the Rfam family "Bacterial small subunit ribosomal RNA", at positions 524 to 776 of the family's 1533-position model. The record is from RNAcentral. Lineage: Bacteria; Pseudomonadati; Pseudomonadota; Alphaproteobacteria; Rickettsiales.
UACAGGGGGUGCUAGCGUUGUUCGGAAUUACUGGGCGUAAAGGGUGCGUAGGCGGUUUCGCAAGUCAGGGGUGAAAUACCGGAGCUUAACUCCGGAAUUGCUUCUGAUACUGCGAGGCUAGAGUGUAUUAGAGGAUGGCGGAAUUCCUAGUGUGGAAGUGAAAUUCGUAGAUAUUAGGAAGAACACCGGUGGCGAAGGCGGCCAUCUGGGAUACAACUGACGCUGAGGCGCGAAAGCGUGGGGAUCAAACAGG